GGUGAGUAACACGUGGGCAACCUGCCCUGUAGUUGGGGAUAACUCCGGGAAAACGGGGCUAAUACCGAAUGAUACAAUUUAACUCCUGUUAGAUUGUUGAAAGAUGGUUCUGCUAUCGCUACAGGAUGGGGCCGCGGCGCAUUAGCUAGUAGGUGAGGUAACGGCUCACCUAGGCGACGAUGCGUAGCCGACCUGAGAGGGUGAUCGGCCACACUGGGACUGAGACACGGCCCAGACUCCUACGGGAGGCAGCAGUAGGGAAUCUUCCACAAUGGGGGAAAGCCUGAUGGAGCAACGCCGCGUGAGUGAAGAAGGUUUUUGGAUCGUAAAACUCUGUUGUAAGGGAAGAACAAGUACAGUAGUAACUGGCUGUACCUUGACGGUACCUUAUUAGAAAGCCACGGCUAACUACGUGCCACCAGCCGCGGUAAUACGUAGGUGGCAAGCGUUGUCCGGAAUUAUUGGGCGUAAAGCGCGCGCAGGCGGUCCUUUUAGUCUGAUG
Molecule: ribosomal RNA, 502 nt
Filed under: Ureibacillus massiliensis
Lineage: Bacteria; Bacillati; Bacillota; Bacilli; Caryophanales; Caryophanaceae
Description: bacterial SSU rRNA
Rfam family: Bacterial small subunit ribosomal RNA
Source: RNAcentral